UACAGGACGAAUUUAAUUUUGGUUCCGAUUGAACGUUUUUCAGUAGUUUUAAGACAUGCAAAUCAUUGUUCUGAAAAUUUUUAAUUUUAAAAUUAACGUUUAAAACUUAAAAAAAUAUGAAUAAGGUGUAAAGGUGAGUAAUGAUAAAUUAGAUACCUUAUAGACUCUCUAAAUAGGAGAUAAAUACUACUCUAUUAUAAUUCUCCAUUCUGAAUUAAAUUUUAGGAUGUGAUUUAAUAUUGCUUUAUUAAUUUGAAUUAUAAAGAGGUUCUUUUUUAUUACAUAAUAUAAUAAAAUAGUGAAAGUAUUGAUAAAAAAGCUAAUUUAUUAAAGAAAGGAAAUUUUCCGCUAUAAGAUUCGAUUUAUUUUGUUUAGGUAGUUGGUAGGGUAAAAGCCUACCAAGCCGACGAUCAAUAGCCAAGUUUGACAGAACAAAUGGCCACAUUGGGAAUGAAAUGCCCCAAGUAGUGUUAACUACCAGCAGUCGAGAAUAUUAGUCAAUGCUCGAAAGAGUGAACUAGCUAACUGAAAUCACAUGACUCAUUCUUAUAGGUGGUGAAUGUGAUAAGGUGUAGGGAAAAAAAUGAUAUUACCUCACUAAAAGUGUUGUCCAAAUCUGGUGCCAGAAGACUCGGUAAGACCAGAAACGCAAACGUUAGUCAUCUUAAUCAGGCGUAAAGGGUAUGUAGGCAGCUUUGAAAGUUUUAUUUUUAUACAAAGGCUCUAUUUAAAUUAAAAAAAAAAUAGUGAAAAUAAAAUAAAUUAAAGCUAGAAUCAAAUAGAGGAAAAACCAAAUAAUACUUAGAGUAGGGAUGAUAUCCAUAGAUACUAAGGGGAAUACUAAGGGCGAAAGCUUUUUUUCUACUAAUGAUUGACGCUGAGAAACGAAGGUGAGAAUAGGAAAUAGGAUUAGAUACCCAGAUACCUCUCACUGUCAACGAUGAAUGGUGGUUGUUAGUUUUAAUAAAAACUGGUGACGAUGUUAACACGAUAACCAUUCCGCCUUGCGAGUACGGUUGCAAAACUGAAACCAAAAAAAUUAGUCGGUCUCGAAGCAAACGAAGUGAAGCAUGUUAUUUAAUACGACAAUACGCGUAAAACCUUACCAGACCUUGCAUAUCUAGCGACCUUUAGCUGCACAAUUAAAUAUUUUACUUUAAAAUUUAAAAUUUAUUUUUAUUAACCAAAGUGAAAUUGCCCUUUAAUUUUUUAUUGUCUUGAAAAAGAUAAGGAAAAUAAAAAGGAUAAGAAAACAAGGAAAAUUAAAAUAGUUUAAAGUUAAAAUAGAAUAGGUAAUACAAGUGGGGCUAGGGAGAGUGAGUAUAUUUUUAAAUUUUAAUUAUUUAAUUAAUCUUAAAUAUUAUUUUUGAAAAUAAUACGCAGAUACAGGUGUUGCAUGGCUGUCGUCAGUCCGUGUUGUGAAGAGUGAGGUUAACUCCACUAACGGACGCAAUCCCUGUUGUUAAUUUAUACUUAACAAUUAAUGAUUCUGAUAGAGUUUCAUUUGGGGCUAAGACAAGCCGUUAUGGCCCUAAUGGUCUGGGCUAUAGACGUGCCACAUAAACUUUUACAAAGUGAUGCAAAACUUUACCUACUCUAAUUUUAUUAGAAGGUAAUAAGGAAAAGCUAAUCAUUAAAAAAAGUUCAUAUAUUAAAUUAUAGACGGAUUGUCGCCUGCAAUUCGGCGACAUGAAGAAGGAAUUUCGAGUAAUCGUUGAUCACUACGCAACGGUGAAGAUAGCAUUCGUGAUGAACUAACUGUCUGUCGCUGGGAAGAAGCUUAACUUGGGGGAAACUGCUACAAAAAUAAAACUUUAACUUAAUUAUGCCUUUCUUUAAUAAUAACAAUUAUUUUAGAAAAUUAAAUUAUUUAAUUUUUGGUUAGUUUUGAAUUACAUAUUCUUGUAUUUAGUUAUAAGAAGUAGUAAUUUUAUUUAAAAACAUUUAUGUUAAGAUAUUUAGUAUCUGUUAACCCAUUUAAGUAACAUCUCAAAAGUCAUAGCAAGGUAGCUGUACUGGAAAGUGCAGCUGGAAAAUAAAAAAU
RNAcentral lists this ribosomal RNA (2044 nucleotides) under Pleurotus citrinopileatus. RNAcentral describes it as "small subunit ribosomal RNA". It matches the Rfam family "Bacterial small subunit ribosomal RNA". Lineage: Eukaryota; Fungi; Basidiomycota; Agaricomycetes; Agaricales; Pleurotaceae. The record is from RNAcentral.